CCUACGGGAGGCUGCAGUGGGGAAUAUUGGACAAUGGGGGCAACCCUGAUCCAGCCAUGCCGCGUGUGUGAAGAAGGCCCUCGGGUUGUAAAGCACUUUCAGAGAGAAAGAACGUCUGGGGGAAAAUACAUAUCGAGAAACACAUCUCUCAGAGAAGACGCACCGUCUAACUCCGUGCCAGCAGCCGCGGUAAUACGGAGGGUGCGAGCGUUAAUCGGAAUUACUGGGCGUAAAGCGCGCGUAGGUGGCUUGAUAAGCCGGUUGUGAAAGCCCCGGGCUCAACCUGGGAACGGCAUCCGGAACUGUCAAGCUAGAGUGCAGGAGAGGAAGGUAGAAUUCCCGGUGUAGCGGUGAAAUGCGUAGAGAUCGGGAGGAAUACCAGUGGCGAAGGCGGCCUUCUGGACUGACACUGACACUGAGGUGCGAAAGCGUGGGUAGCAAACAGGAUUAGAUACCCCUGUAGUC
Molecule: ribosomal RNA, 465 nt
Filed under: Vreelandella stevensii
Lineage: Bacteria; Pseudomonadati; Pseudomonadota; Gammaproteobacteria; Oceanospirillales; Halomonadaceae
Description: partial 16S ribosomal RNA
Rfam family: Bacterial small subunit ribosomal RNA
Source: RNAcentral